This 240-nucleotide unclassified non-coding RNA is filed under the name soil metagenome. Its description in RNAcentral is "partial contains 5.8S ribosomal RNA, internal transcribed spacer 2, and large subunit ribosomal RNA". The record is from RNAcentral.
AACAUCGCGCACCUGCGGGAACCUGCGGAAGGAUCAUUACAGAGUUGCAAAACUCCCUAAACCAUUGUGAACGUUACCUAAACCGUUGCUUCGGCGGGCGGCCCGGGUCCUUCCCGGCGCCCAUCGGCCCUCGCGGGCGCCCGCCGGAGGUAAACCAAACUAUUGCAUUGUAUGGCCUCUCUGAGUCUUCUGUACUGAAUAAGUCAAAACUUUCAGCAACGGAUCUCAGAUCAGAAGAGC